This 516-nucleotide ribosomal RNA is filed under the name Escherichia coli. RNAcentral describes it as "partial 16S ribosomal RNA". It matches the Rfam family "Bacterial small subunit ribosomal RNA", at positions 271 to 779 of the family's 1533-position model. RNAcentral also lists the same sequence under 1 other name. The record is from RNAcentral. Lineage: Bacteria; Pseudomonadati; Pseudomonadota; Gammaproteobacteria; Enterobacterales; Enterobacteriaceae.
AGGCGACGAUCCCUAGCUGGUCUGAGAGGAUGACCAGCCACACUGGAACUGAGACACGGUCCAGACUCCUACGGGAGGCAGCAGUGGGGAAUAUUGCACAAUGGGCGCAAGCCUGAUGCAGCCAUGCCGCGUGUAUGAAGAAGGCCUUCGGGUUGUAAAGUACUUUCAGCGGGGAGGAAGGGAGUAAAGUUAAUACCUUUGCUCAUUGACGUUACCCGCAGAAGAAGCACCGGCUAACUCCGUGCCAGCAGCCGCGGUAAUACGGAGGGUGCAAGCGUUAAUCGGAAUUACUGGGCGUAAAGCGCACGCAGGCGGUUUGUUAAGUCAGAUGUGAAAUCCCCGGGCUCAACCUGGGAACUGCAUCUGAUACUGGCAAGCUUGAGUCUCGUAGAGGGGGGUAGAAUUCCAGGUGUAGCGGUGAAAUGCGUAGAGAUCUGGAGGAAUACCGGUGGCGAAGGCGGCCCCCUGGACGAAGACUGACGCUCAGGUGCGAAAGCGUGGGGAGCAAACAGGAUU